This 1415-nucleotide long non-coding RNA is filed under the name Pan troglodytes (chimpanzee). RNAcentral's name for it is "long non-coding RNA NONPTRT006967". The record is from RNAcentral. Lineage: Eukaryota; Metazoa; Chordata; Mammalia; Primates; Hominidae.
UGUGCUGCCAGCUGGCCCAAGGGCCACAGCCCCCACCGGGCAGGAGCCACCCUGGAGUGGCUGGACUGGCAGCCCAGGAGGGCUAGGGUGCUGGGGACCCCUGAGGACACCACCUCCUUACCAACAGGUACAGGGGCAGGUGCAGCUCAAUAUCUUACCGACCAGCUCAGCCCUUCCUGUGCGCACUGGCUGAGCACCUGCUGGGGCCUCAGGCUCCCUCGGCCUUCCCAUACCUGCCCUGUUGUACCCCUGAGGCAUCCUUAUGGUCUUGCCCAUCCCAUGCCAAGGCAGCUCUGGCCUGCUCCUCACUGUCCUGGAGCCUGAGACAACCACGGCCGCAUCUUCCUCAGUCCACUCUAUUCCAGCCCGAGUCCCUGGGGAUCUGCUCCCCAAGCACGGUGCCCUGGGGAUCCACGCUGUCUUCCACUUUGUGCCUUCCAGACAUCAUCUACUGUCCCCAAAACCUUCUGUGGAUUCAUAGGUCACUAUUGGUAACUAUAGGUUACCACAGGUCAUAGGUCACUACAGUUAUCCCAGUUACCAACAGUCUAGGGUACGAAGUCAGGGAGGCCGGGCAGCCUGUCCUUCACAGCCUUUCCCUCUGGCCUUAGGUAGGAAGAAGGGGGCCCUACUGGUCGGCUCUGCCAAGCUGCAGAAUCAGGACCUGGGGUCGUCUACACAGCUCAGAGCUGUGGCUCAAACCCAGCCAUGGAGUUGGGGGUCACUCCCUCGGGGCCAAGGGCCUGACAAAAACCAGGAUAGGAGUGCCGUGGCCUGGAGCAGCUGUGUGGCUCCGAACGCAGCAGGGAGGGCCCAACGCUAGGCAUGGGGCAGGCAGGGCUGUGCACGUAGACGCCCCCUCAGCAGGCCGUCAAGGCCCUGCAUUAAGGCAAACAUGAGCCACCUUCAGUGUGUGCGUUUCCAACACGAGAUGCUGUUAGCUGAAGGGAGGACUGGGAUGGGCCCGUCCCGCCCCCCACCAACAGGGCGUCCAGGUGAAGGACCAGGAGAAGAGGCGGCGUGUGGAGGAAGAAGGCGCAGGAAUGGGGAGGGGGUGUGGAGGAAGAAGGCGCAGGAAUGGGGAGGGCGUGUGGAGGAAGAAGGCGCAGGAAUGGGGAGAGGGCGUGGAGGAAGAAGGCGCAGGAAUGGGGAGAGGGCGUGUGGAGGAAGAAGGCGCAGGAAUGGGGAGAGGGCGUGGAGGAAGAAGGCGCAGGAAUGGGGAGAGGGCGUGGAGGAAGAAGGCGCAGGAAUGGGGAGAGGGCGUGUGGAGGAAGAAGGCGCAGGAAUGGGGAGAGGGCGUGGAGGAAGAAGGCGCAGGAAUGGGGAGAGGGCGUGGAGGAAGAAGGCGCAGGAAUGGGGAGAGGGCGUGGAGGAAGAAGGCGCAGGAAUGGGGAGAGGGCGUGUGGAGGAAGAAG